This 471-nucleotide ribosomal RNA is filed under the name uncultured bacterium. RNAcentral describes it as "bacterial SSU rRNA". It matches the Rfam family "Bacterial small subunit ribosomal RNA", at positions 28 to 513 of the family's 1533-position model. The record is from RNAcentral.
GACGAACGCUGGCGGCGUGCUUAACACAUGCAAGUCGAGCGGUAAGGCCCUUUCGGGGGUACACGAGCGGCGAACGGGUGAGUAACACGUGGGUGACCUGCCUUUAGCUCUGGGAUAAGCCUGGGAAACUGGGUCUAAUACCGGAUAUGACCCUAUGGCGCAUGUUGUGGGGUGGAAAGCCUUGUGCGGCUAGGGAUGGGCCCGCGGCCUAUCAGCUUGUUGGUGGGGUGAUGGCCUACCAAGGCGACGACGGGUAGCCGGCCUGAGAGGGCGACCGGCCACACUGGGACUGAGAUACGGCCCAGACUCCUACGGGAGGCAGCAGUGGGGAAUCUUGCGCAAUGGGCGAAAGCCUGACGCAGCGACGCCGCGUGAGGGAUGACGGCCCUAGGGUUGUAAACCUCUUUCAGCCUUGACGAAGCGAAAGUGACGGUAGGGGCAGAAGAAGCACCGGCCAACUACGUGCCAGCA